RNAcentral lists this ribosomal RNA (652 nucleotides) under Pagurus bernhardus (common hermit crab). RNAcentral's name for it is "SSU rRNA". It matches the Rfam family "Eukaryotic small subunit ribosomal RNA", at positions 567 to 1200 of the family's 1831-position model. Lineage: Eukaryota; Metazoa; Arthropoda; Malacostraca; Decapoda; Paguridae. The record is from RNAcentral.
UCAGCAGCCCGCGUAAUUCCAGCUCCAAUAGCGUAUAUUAAAGUUGUUGCGGUUAAAAAGCUCGUAGUUGGAUUACAGUUCCGGACUGACGGUUCACCGCCCGGUGCUUACUGUCACGCUCCGAACAGCCUGAAACAUGGCCCCGCCGGCUCGCCCGGGGUGCUCUUUACCGAGUGUCCCGAGUGGCCGGCAUGUUUACUUUGAAAAAAUUAGAGUGCUCAGAGCAGGCUACAUGAAUUGGCCUGAAUGUCUAUGCAUGGAAUAAUGGAAUAGGACCUCGGUUCUAUUUUGUCGGUUUUCUUCGGAACCCGAGGUAAUGACUAAUAGAAACAGGCGGGGGUAUUAGUACUGCGACGCUAGAGGUGAAAUUCUUGGACCGUCGCAAGACUAACAACUGCGAAAGCAUUUACCAAGGAUGUUUUCAUUAAUCAAGAACGAAAGUUAGAGGUUCGAAGGCGAUCAGAUACCGCCCUAGUUCUAACCAUAAACGAUGCUGACUAGCGAUCCGCCGGCGUUAUUCCCAUGACCCGGCGGGCAGCUUCCGGGAAACCAAAGUCUUUGAGUUCCGGGGGAAGUAUGGUUGCAAAGCUGAAACUUAAAGGAAUUGACGGAAGGGCACCACCAGGAGUGGAGCCUGCGGCUUAAUUUGAUC